Molecule: ribosomal RNA, 651 nt
Filed under: uncultured Actinomyces sp.
Lineage: Bacteria; Bacillati; Actinomycetota; Actinomycetes; Actinomycetales; Actinomycetaceae
Description: bacterial SSU rRNA
Rfam family: Bacterial small subunit ribosomal RNA
Source: RNAcentral
GACGAACGCUGGCGGCGUGCUUAACACAUGCAAGUCGAACGCUGAAGGCCCAGCUUGCUGGGUUGGAUGAGUGGCGAACGGGUGAGUAACACGUGAGUAACCUGCCCCCUUCUUUGGGAUAACGGUCGGAAACGGCUGCUAAUACCGGGUAUUCACUGUCCUUCGCAUGGGGGGUGGUGGAAAGGUUUUUUCUGGUGGGGGAUGGGCUCGCGGCCUAUCAGCUUGUUGGUGGGGUGAUGGCUUACCAAGGCUUUGACGGGUAACCGGCCUGAGAGGGUGACCGGUCACAUUGGGACUGAGAUACGGCCCAGACUCCUACGGGAGGCAGCAGUGGGGAAUAUUGCACAAUGGGCGAAAGCCUGAUGCAGCGACGCCGCGUGAGGGAUGACGGCCUUCGGGUUGUAAACCUCUUUCGCUCAUGGUCAAGCCGCAACAGUGGUUGUGGUGAGGGUAGUGGGUAAAGAAGCACCGGCUAACUACGUGCCUGCAGCCGCGGAUAUACGAGAGGGUGCGAGCAUUGCCCGAAUUAUUGGGCGUGAAGGGGUUGUAGGGCGGUUUGUCUCCUCUUCCAUGAAUCCACUCGGGCAAACUGGGGGCGUGAGGUGUGUUCCUGCUUUUUUUUAAUGAUGUACGGGGUAUAGGGAAAUGAUA